RNAcentral lists this transfer RNA (70 nucleotides) under Stefania scalae. Its description in RNAcentral is "partial tRNA-Val". It matches the Rfam family "tRNA". Rfam says of the family: Transfer RNA (tRNA) molecules are approximately 80 nucleotides in length. Their secondary structure includes four short double-helical elements and three loops (D, anti-codon, and T loops). The record is from RNAcentral. Lineage: Eukaryota; Metazoa; Chordata; Amphibia; Anura; Hemiphractidae.
CAAAAUAUAGCUUAGACUAAAGCACCUCGCUUACACCGAGGACACACCCGGCAAACUCGGGUUAUUUUGA